This 254-nucleotide ribosomal RNA is filed under the name uncultured bacterium. Its description in RNAcentral is "partial 16S ribosomal RNA". It matches the Rfam family "Bacterial small subunit ribosomal RNA", at positions 524 to 776 of the family's 1533-position model. The record is from RNAcentral.
UACGGGGGGAGCAAGCGUUGUUCGGAUUUACUGGGCGUAAAGGGCGCGUAGGCGGCCACUGCAAGUCAGUUGUGAAAUCUCCGGGCUUAACCCGGAAAGGUCAACUGAUACUGCAGGGCUAGAGUGCAGAAGGGGCAACUGGAAUUCUCGGUGUAGCGGUGAAAUGCGUAGAUAUCGGGAGGAACACCGGUGGCGAAGGCGGCGAUCUGGGUCGAUACUGACGCUGAGGUGCGAAAGCGUGGGGAGCAAACAGG